This 427-nucleotide ribosomal RNA is filed under the name uncultured bacterium. RNAcentral describes it as "partial 16S ribosomal RNA". It matches the Rfam family "Bacterial small subunit ribosomal RNA", at positions 355 to 774 of the family's 1533-position model. The record is from RNAcentral.
UGGGGAAUAUUGGACAAUGGGCGAAAGCCUGAUCCAGCCAUGCCGCGUGUGUGAAGAAGGUCUUCGGAUUGUAAAGCACUUUAAGUUGGGAGGAAGGGCAGUAAGUUAAUACCUUGCUGCUUUGACGUUACCGACAGAAUAAGCACCGGCUAACUCUGUGCCAGCAGCCGCGGUAAUACAGAGGGUGCAAGCGUUAAUCGGAAUUACUGGGCGUAAAGCGCGCGUAGGUGGUUUGUUAAGUUGGAUGUGAAAGCCCCGGGCUCAACCUGGGAACUGCAUUCAAAACUGGCAAGCUAGAGUUCGGUAGAGGGGGGUGGAAUUUCCUGUGUAGCGGUGAAAUGCGUAGAUAUAGGGAGGAAUACCAGUGGCGAAGGCGGCCACCUGGACUGAUACUGACACUGAGGUGCGAAAGCGUGGGGAGCAAACA